Molecule: non-coding RNA, 65 nt
Filed under: Polarella glacialis
Lineage: Eukaryota; Dinophyceae; Suessiales; Suessiaceae
Source: RNAcentral
AAGCACGGCUUCGCAGCGCACAGACGGGGAGCUUGCUCCCAUCCAUGCUGCGGGGAAAGUCCCCG